UACGUAGGGGGCAAGCGUUGUCCGGAUUUAUUGGGCGUAAAGAGCGUGUAGGCGGCCAGGGAGGUCCGUUGUGAAAACUCGAGGCUCAACCUCGAGACGCCGAUGGAAACCCCCUGGCUAGAGUCCGGAAGAGGAGAGUGGAAUUCCUGGUGUAGCGGUGAAAUGCGCAGAUAUCAGGAGGAACACCGGUGGCGAAGGCGGUUCUCUGGGCAUGUCCUGACGCUGAGGAGCGAAAGCGUGGGGAGCGAACAGG
RNAcentral lists this ribosomal RNA (253 nucleotides) under uncultured bacterium. Its description in RNAcentral is "partial 16S ribosomal RNA". It matches the Rfam family "Bacterial small subunit ribosomal RNA", at positions 524 to 776 of the family's 1533-position model. The record is from RNAcentral.